RNAcentral lists this ribosomal RNA (632 nucleotides) under uncultured fungus. Its description in RNAcentral is "eukaryotic LSU rRNA". It matches the Rfam family "Eukaryotic large subunit ribosomal RNA", at positions 24 to 664 of the family's 3401-position model. Lineage: Eukaryota; Fungi. The record is from RNAcentral.
CCCGCUGAACUUAAGCAUAUCAAUAAGCGCAGGAAAAGAAACCAACAGGGAUUGCCUCAGUAACGGCGAGUGAAGCGGCAACAGCUCAAAUUUGAAAUCUGGCCCCUCGGGGUCCGAGUUGUAAUCUAGAGAAGCGUUUUCUGUGCUGGACUGUGUACAAGUUUCCUGGAUACGGAACAUCAUAGAGGGUGAGAAUCCCGUCCUUGGCACAGACUCCCAGUACUUUGUGAUGCGCUCUCAACGAGUCGAGUUGUUUGGGAUUGCAGCUCAAAAUGGGAGGUAAAUUCCUUCUAAAGCUAAAUAUUGGCGAGAGACCGAUAGCGAACAAGUACCGUGAGGGAAAGAUGAAAAGCACUUUGGAAAGAGAGUUAAACAGUACGUGAAAUUGUUAAAAGGGAAACGAUUGAAGUCAGUCGCGUCUACUUGGACUCAGCCUUGCCUUGGCUUGGUGCAUUUCCUUGUGGACGGGCCAGCGUUUAUGUUGGUUGCUGGAAAAGGUACAGGGGAAUGUGGCUCUUUUGGGAGUGUUAUAGCCCUAGUUCAUAUACAGUGACUAAUAUGGAGUGGUACAGCAUGCUUCGGCGGUGCUUGUGCUGGCAUAAUGGCUUUAAACGACCCGUCUUGAAACACGG